GAAGGUGGGGGCCAGGGAAAGCGGAGGAGCGCUGUCUGCGCGAUGAAGAUGAAGGUAAAUGGCUGCCAGUGUACGGUCUCCUCACAACCUCUGAUGUUCAAGAAAAAACAAUCCAUCUCCCCAACUUCUCCCUGGUGCUAAUAUCUCCUAAUCCAGACAUCAUUCUUGUAAACCUCCUGAGCACCCCAUCAAGAACUGCAUACCAUAUUCCAAAUAUGGCCUAACUUAAAAUCUGUAAAGCUAUAUCAUGAUUUCCUGGUCCUUAUGAUCAAAGCCCUGACCUAUGAAAGCAAGCAUACCAUAUGCCUUAUUUACCACUCCACCUGCAUACGUUUAAUUCUUGAAGGAUGCAAAGACAAAAAUAAUCUCUUUCUUUAGAAAACUAUUGCAAGUAUGUUGAUCCAGAGAUAUUUAUAGUUGGGUUAAAUUGGUUAAAAACAAGUUUGUAUUUGUGACUUUUGAUUGCUUUUGCCACAGAUCCCUGGGGUUAAGAGGAAAAGAUAGAUCAGCCAUGAUUGCAUGGCAGUCUAUAAUCGAUGGGCCGAAUGCCUUACUUCUGCUUCUAUGCUUUAUGAACAUGAAUUAUUGCAAUUUACAUCAACCUUUGGGACUCUCAAUUUAUGCUCUUCAACUUCUGAUGCAUCUGCCAGGCUCUGCAAAAGUAUUAAUUCAUUAAACUUCCCCAUUUACUCUUU
Amblyraja radiata (thorny skate) is the source of this 695-nucleotide long non-coding RNA. RefSeq lists it as uncharacterized. The transcript has 2 exons. NCBI's taxonomy places the organism in Eukaryota, Metazoa, Chordata, Chondrichthyes, Rajiformes, Rajidae. The record is from RefSeq and is a predicted model, not a curated record.